AUGAGUGCUGCGAAUGUUCUGUGUUCCCCUUUUUUUUGGCUGUCUGGACUGUGGAUUGAGGCAUGCAGGAGUAAACAAACCUACCUCUUUGGUUGCUCAUUCCUUGCAGCAUGUGUGUGGAGGUGUGGACAGCUCAUCCACUGGCCUGACUGCCUGAGCCAGCACAAAGAAUGGUGGGCUGAUGAGGACAAGAUGGAAGACUUAGAUGGAAAGGAAUAAAAAACAUAAUUUGCCGAAGCUCUCAAUUAAUCAUAAUCAAGUUUGUGCAUGUUAUACUCUACAAGGGUAACAACAAUGAAACACAAGGAGAAAAGGAUGCUUUCCUCAGGCAGUUCUGG
This 338-nucleotide long non-coding RNA is filed under the name Junco hyemalis (dark-eyed junco). RNAcentral's name for it is "lncRNA (ENSJHYG00000003500.1)". Lineage: Eukaryota; Metazoa; Chordata; Aves; Passeriformes; Passerellidae. The record is from RNAcentral.